Molecule: long non-coding RNA, 931 nt
Filed under: Physcomitrium patens
Lineage: Eukaryota; Viridiplantae; Streptophyta; Bryopsida; Funariales; Funariaceae
Description: long non-coding RNA (PPAT_LNC009796)
Source: RNAcentral
AUUUGAUUUAGGGUUUGGGUUAAGGUUUGUUUAGGAUUUGAUUUAGGGUUUAGAAUUUGAUUUAGGAUUUGGUUGGAAUUUGAUUUAAGGUUUGAUUUAAGGUUAGGAUUUGAUUAGGGUUUGAUUUAGGAUUUAGGAUUUGGUUUAGGGUUUGAUUAGGAUUUGGUUUAGCAUUUAGAGUUUGGUUAGGAUUUUAUUUAGGAUUUAGAAUUUAAUUAGGAUUUAGUUUAAGGUUUAUUUAGGAUUUGAUUUAGGAUUUAGGAUUUGAUUAGGGCUUAAUUAGGAUUUGGUUUAGGGUUUAGGAUUUGCUUUAGGAUUUGGUUGGAAUUUGGUUUCAAGUUUUUUUGGGGUUUGGUUUAGGGUUUGGAUAGAAUUUGGUUCAGGAUUUGGAUAGAAUUUGGUUUAGAAUUUGAUUAGGGUUUGGUUUAGAGUUUGAUUAGGAUUUGGUUUAGAGUUUAGGAUUUGGUUUAGGGUUUAGGAUUUGAUUUAGGAUUUAUUUAGGGUUUAAGAUUUAAUUAGUUUUGGCCUAAAGUUUGAAUGAAGUCCAAUAGGAUUUUAAUUAGGAUUAAAUUAAGAUUGAAUUGAGAUGUAUUUGAGAUAUAUUUGUGAUCAUUCUAGUAUUUUUGUAAGAUUUCUUAUUAUUUUUUUGAAAUUUCUUUGACGUUUCUUUGAAUUUGAUUAAAGCUUACUUAGUAUUAUUAUGGUCUAAUUAAAUUUUAGUUAGUAUUCUAUUAGAGUUAGGAUUUUUUUGUUGCAAUUUCCAUUCUAUCUUCCACAGCCAAGUAUCCAGAGCAUUCUCAAGCAAGACUUCACGUAUUACGACAACAAGAUCCAAUAUUGGAUAAUCUGGAGGCUUUUUUAGCAAAGUUUUGAUCCAUGUAUACAUGAUACAAUUCAUAUUGCAACCAAUAAGAUCCAUAUUUUGCGAUAA